Molecule: ribosomal RNA, 502 nt
Filed under: uncultured bacterium
Lineage: Bacteria
Description: partial 16S ribosomal RNA
Rfam family: Bacterial small subunit ribosomal RNA
Source: RNAcentral
GACGAACGCUGGCGGCGUGCCUAAUACAUGCAAGUCGAACGAACCGCGACUGAGUGCUUGCACUUGGUCAAGGUGAGUGGCGAACGGGUGAGUAACACGUGGGUAACCUACCUCAUAGUGGGGGAUAACAGUCGGAAACGACUGCUAAUACCGCAUAGGACAUGGAAUCACAUGAUUCUGUGAGGAAAGGUGGCGCAAGCUAUCGCUACGAGAUGGACCCGCGGUGCAUUAGCUAGUUGGUAGGGUAAGGGCCUACCAAGGCGAUGAUGCAUAGCCGACCUGAGAGGGUGAUCGGCCACAUUGGGACUGAGACACGGCCCAAACUCCUACGGGAGGCAGCAGUAGGGAAUCUUCCGCAAUGGACGCAAGUCUGACGGAGCAACGCCGCGUGAGUGAAGAAGGUCUUCGGAUCGUAAAGCUCUGUUGUUAGAGAAGAACAGCGCAUAGAGUAACUGUUAUGCGUGUGACGGUAUCUAAACAGAAAGCCACGGCUAACUACGUG